RNAcentral lists this ribosomal RNA (492 nucleotides) under uncultured bacterium. RNAcentral describes it as "partial 16S ribosomal RNA". It matches the Rfam family "Bacterial small subunit ribosomal RNA", at positions 29 to 507 of the family's 1533-position model. The record is from RNAcentral.
AGUGAACGCUGGCGGUAGGCCUAACACAUGCAAGUCGAACGGCAGCACAGUAAGAGCUUGCUCUUACGGGCGGCGAGUGGCGGACGGGUGCGGAAUACAUCGGAAUCUACUUUUUCGUGGGGGCUAACGUCGGGAAACUUACGCUAAUAACGCAUACGACCUACGGGUGAAAGCAGGGGAUCUUCGGACCUUGCGCGAUUGAAUGAGCCGAUGUCGGAUUAGCUAGUUGGCGGGGUAAAGGCCCACCAAGGCGACGAUCCGUAGCUGGUCUGAGAGGAGGAUCAGCCACACUGGAACUGAGACACGGUCCAGACUCCUACGGAAGGCAGCAGUGGGGAAUAUUGGACAAUGGGCGCAAGCCUGAUCCAGCCAUACCGCGUGGGUGAAGAAGGCCUUCGGGUUGUAAAGCCCUUUUGUUGGGAAAGAAAAGCAGCAGUUUAAUACCCCGCUGUUCUGACGGUACCCAAAGAAUAAGCACCGGCUAACUUCGUG